Molecule: ribosomal RNA, 251 nt
Filed under: uncultured Lactobacillus sp.
Lineage: Bacteria; Bacillati; Bacillota; Bacilli; Lactobacillales; Lactobacillaceae
Description: partial 16S ribosomal RNA
Rfam family: Bacterial small subunit ribosomal RNA
Source: RNAcentral
AACACGUGGGGAACCUGCCCCAUAGCCUGGGAUACCACUUGGAAACAGGUGCUAAUACCGGAUAAGAAAGCGGAUCGCAUGAUCAGCUUUUAAAAGGCGGCGUAAGCUGUCGCUAUGGGAUGGCCCCGCGGUGCAUUAGCUAGUUGGUAAGGUAAGGGCUUACCAAGGCGAUGAUGCAUAGCCGAGUUGAGAGACUGAUCGGCCACAUUGGGACUGAGACACGGCCCAAACUCCUACGGGAGGCAGCAGGU